Neotoma lepida (desert woodrat) is the source of this 135-nucleotide non-coding RNA. The record is from Rfam. NCBI's taxonomy places the organism in Eukaryota, Metazoa, Chordata, Mammalia, Rodentia, Cricetidae.
CUACAGCCAAUUAAGCUGACCAGGUCCCUUUCUUGAUGGAGGCCUGGUUUGCAGUGGCUGCAAACAGCAGCGUCCUUGGUAGUACAUGCUGCCUGUUGCCUGUACGGGCUGAUCUAAGGGACCUUGGAACAAUUU